AUAUUGUUAAUAUUAGCUCAAUAAAAUUGGUUUUAUCUGUUCUUAUCAGCUUAAUAUCUGAUACGACGUCGACAUGACGUCAAGAUAUUAAACUAAUUUUUGCAGAUAGGCUUGUGGUUAGGAAUUUAUUCCGCCCUCGCCACGGGUUGGCCUGCUAUGGCACUACUUGCAGGAUACGGCCCACAAUAU
RNAcentral lists this small nuclear RNA (189 nucleotides) under Stegodyphus dumicola. Its description in RNAcentral is "U2 spliceosomal RNA". It matches the Rfam family "U2 spliceosomal RNA". Rfam says of the family: U2 is a small nuclear RNA (snRNA) component of the spliceosome (involved in pre-mRNA splicing). The record is from RNAcentral. Lineage: Eukaryota; Metazoa; Arthropoda; Arachnida; Araneae; Eresidae.